AGCGUAGGUGGCCUAACAUGUCAACUGUGAAAACCCGGAGCUCAACUCCGGACUUGCAGUUGAAACUGGUAGGCUUGAGGACGGUAGAGGAAGACGGAACUGCCAGUGUAGGGGUAAAAUCCUUAGAUAUUGGCAGGAACGCCGGUGACGAAGGUGGUUUUCUGGGCCGGUUCUGACACUGAUGCUUGAAAGCCAGGGGAGCGAACG
This 207-nucleotide ribosomal RNA is filed under the name uncultured Mesotoga sp. Its description in RNAcentral is "partial 16S ribosomal RNA". It matches the Rfam family "Bacterial small subunit ribosomal RNA", at positions 568 to 774 of the family's 1533-position model. Lineage: Bacteria; Thermotogati; Thermotogota; Thermotogae; Kosmotogales; Kosmotogaceae. The record is from RNAcentral.